RNAcentral lists this long non-coding RNA (7821 nucleotides) under Sus scrofa (pig). Its description in RNAcentral is "lncRNA (ENSSSCG00000057601.1)". The record is from RNAcentral. Lineage: Eukaryota; Metazoa; Chordata; Mammalia; Artiodactyla; Suidae.
ACAUGGAGGUUCCUAGGCUAGGGGUUGAAUCAAAGCUACAGUCACCAGCCUACACCCCAGGCACAGCAACAUCAGAUCCGAGCCUCGUCUGUGACCUACCCCACAGCUCAUGGCAACACUGGAUCCUUAACUCACUGAGCAAGGGCAGGGAUCAAACUGCAACCUCAUGGUUCCUAGCCAGAUUCCUUUCUGCUGUGCCACCAGACAGGAACUCCCAGAAUAAUGUUUUCAAAUGUAUAAAAUAAAAAUAUACACAGUUGCAAAGAAACCAAUUACACUGAAAUGCAGUUCUAUUACUAAGACCUCCCUGAGAGAAGCUGCUAGGAUAAUAAAGCAAAAUGGGGAAAGCAAGACCAGUUUACUCCCAGAUGCUUCCACCAGAGGUAACCUAACCGAAGACAAAUGUAUUUGCCUUGCCCGAUAGAGGAACAAACUAACUCAAGAAAACUUGAUUUAAAAGUGAAGUGGCUGAUUGUCUAUUUCCUAAUAAAGCACUGUAAUCAAAAAUACUCAGUGUUGUACUUCAACAGUGCUUCAUUUAUCAAAUGUUUCCAGAACAUCCAAUCCAUUUCUUAAUUUCUGUUUACUCUUUCAUCACCUCCCCCACCCACCCCUGCUUUAUUCUAAUCUUUGAUCUAAGUCUUAGAUGUUGACAAAGGAUUUGGCUUAUCCUGACUCGCUGCACAGGAUUCCAUCACCUCCCUAUUAAUGAAGCAAACAGCACUAAAAGGGAUCUAACAUAAGUAUUCUCUAUGUGAACUGUAACUGUGACAUCAAGAGCCUCAUAGAUUGCUUGACUGCACACCUCAUCAUUCGUGGUAAUUCAUCCACUGGGCUUGAUUUGGUGGGGGGAAGCAACGGUUUCUGACGUGACAAAUCCAACACCCAUCACAAUUCAGCAUCUUUAUGGAAAAUAUUCGACAGAUGUCUAUGUGCAUCCAUGCCACGGAGUGUGGUCCCUGCACCAUAUCUUCAUUUGGGAAACUCCCCGAACACCCGUUUAAUAAAAGCCAAGGGCUUAAAUAUCUCCAGACCCUGGAGACAGAAAUAUUUUCUCUUCUCAGUAAUUGUUUUCUGCCCAAAGAACUCAAUCAGCUGUAUCUGCCAUAUAAUAGUUUCAGAAAAAAAAAAAAAACUAUCGUAUUUCUUGCAUUACGAUGUACUUUCUGAUAAUUAAUAUCAGUUCAUGUAAACAUUAAAAUGCAUUACCUUUUACCCUUCCAAAUGAAGUCUCAAUAAACUUGGUCUUUCUCUCUUUCUUACAGACACACACACACACCUUUAACUAGCACCUUCUCGCCCUUUACAUCUAGAGUAGAGAGAGAGGAAUAAGAAAUUAAAAAAUAUUAGAUAUUGCCUUUUGACGUGACUGCUAAUAUAAUAAAGCCACAUCGUAAACUGAAUCAUCGGAGUCUGCUGUUCGUACUGCUCUCUUUGCUGGUAUUGCUUCAUGGAUAUUAGAACCCUUAGGGAUAUUGGAAUAUGAAUAAAGAUUUUUUUUUAAAUCAGCUGGGUUUUUUUUUCCUCUUGGUUCUGUUUCUAAAAAUAAUGCAGUUUGCAAAAAACAGAAGGUUUGGUUUAUAACACAAACAAAAUUGUUACAUUCUGAAUGGGUUGUAAGUACCUGAUUCUUUGCCUUUUUACUCAUCCCUGCAAAAAAAAAAAAAAAAAAUCUGCAAAUCCAUUUGCUAACCAGCUGUACCUCUGCCUGAAUCUCAUAGCUUUUUUUAAAUGCUAAUGACAAGAAACAUUUCCGAAGCCAAAACGCUCUUGUAGAUCUGUCUUCCUCUAUUAUGACUGAUAUUUGCUUGUAAGUACAUAGAACACUUGUUCCCCGUCCCUUAUCUGCGGCGCUGCAGCAUGCUGACCUACAUACCAUUCAGCACAAUAUGAUGCACAAACAUCUUCUAUAUAAUUUUUCAUUUUCGACUUAAAAACAGUAGAGGCAAAAUAGGAUUGCUGCAAAUCUAACAAAGAGAUGGCAUUAUUUCCAAAUAAAAAUGUGCAUUUUUCCAAAGAAUUUAUUUGUCUAGCAGCAUGAAGUUCAGACAUAGCAAUGCUGGGGAAAGGGUGUUAAAUUACGAUUAGGAAGGAAGGACUUAGGGAGGGAAACAAAACCCAUCUUUUCUACUCCCUGAGCAUAAUUAAGCUAACUUCUUUCUCACCACAAUUAAAAGUUCAGCUUUUCUGAACCGUGUUUUUGCAGUGUCACGAAAUGCAGCAGAUCGAAUAAUGCUGAAAUACAUACAAUAUUAACAAAGGAAGAAGGGAAGAACGUGACAGGGAGAGCUAUGGAAAGGGAAGAAAUCAUCUAUUCUCACACCUGCCAUUGUCGGAACACUCCAAACCAAGUUGUUUAUCUUUAUAAUUUCUUGCUGCUAUGGCUGCCAUGUUGAAAUGAUACUUGGGUUUCCAGCAAAACUGUUCAUAGCUGCAAGUGGAGUCCUUAAGCUGGAGGUUAUCUGAUGACCUAGCCUCUAUAAUGCUCUGCCAGACCAUUGUAAUUGCAAAUACAGUUGAGCCACGGAAAAAGGACUGUUUUUCUAGGACAGCACACAAAAGAGAUCAGCGAAGGUGCCAACAAGGUCAAAGGGCAAAGAGGGUGAAACCCCUCAUUAACUGGGAACACGGCUGGAAAUCUCCACUCUCACACUGCCUUCCCUCUGCCACUGAAGAGGUGGUUUACAAGUGCACCUCGGUUUAAUUUUUAAUGAUAAGCUGUCUUUGUUUUCCAAGUUUGAUGCGUCUGAAACAACUGGAAAAUCCCCAAGUAAGAUUAAAAGGACUUGAGUUGUGGCCCAAAUGACCUCUUUCCUUGCACGCUAAGUAAUUUGCUUCCUAAUUGUUUUGAGGGGACUUGAGUAAGAGGGCCGCAACAAAUACUUUUGCCACCAUUGUUGGAUGUUGACAAUAGGUUUUAAGCAUGAUUCACCUCUCUGAAUCAUUAUUUCAUAGUGCUCUACAAGGAGAGCAACCUUUUGCAAAGAGGUAGCAGUUAUCUGAAUUUCACCAGCUAGAAGCCUCUUUUCCAAAAAGCCAAGUCAAAGAUAAAAUGAAUUUUCACACUUUUUGCAGUUUUGCAGUUAUUCUGCUUUAAUUGUUUGCACCAGCCAAAUCUACCCAUCAGCUGCCAGACCCCCGCUUAUUUGUGAGCAGUGUUAACCCAGGAUUUCACAAUUUCUGCGUGAUGUGGGGAACAGAACAUUCUGCCGAGAGUCUGGAGACCCAGUGUUUUUAUCCUGGCUCUGCCACAAACUAGCUGUGUGACUUUGAGCAAGUCACUUGACCUCUCUGAACCUGUUUAUCUGGAGUUUGGCGUAGUUAAAUGAUAAGAGCUCUUCUGGCUGUGACAUUUGACAACUGGCUCCCCAUAUAUCCUUUUCAUUUGGGACCACUUAUCUCACCACUGUUGGCUCGUGUUAACUGCUAAAUACCAUAGAACCAUUUUCUAAGUGCUUAUUUCAGAUGAUACUGAAAGCUCUAGGAAAACCUUGUCUUUCGGCAUUACCAUAGAUAUGCUUAAGUGAUAACCAGCCCCCACUUUACUAUCCAUUGCUAAUGGCAACGCGUUACACUCCCACACGAGCACCCUAGGUCUAACUUAUUAAUGGUCUAUGCUAAUGCAAUUUCCAGAAAGUAUGUUGUUAUUAAAUUUUCUGGAAUUUCAACACAGCAAAACAACAUAUAACUGCUUGAUAAAUUACUUUGAAUAGAUUUAGUAAUUUGUGUAAGGGUGGCUCUCAUUUAUGUAAGAAGCCUAAAUCCAUUUAAAGUUAAUUUCUAAUUUUCUUAUAUUUAUGUCAUUCAGAAAUACACUGCUGGUCCAGGAGCAAUCUCUCCAAAACCCAAGUGAACUAUUAAUUUUAUUUGGGUUAAAGCAUAAAAUGUUAACAGUGUACAGAAUCCACAAUUUGCCAGUUACUCUUCACAACUCCUUCCAAAUAUCGUCUAUGAACUUUUUUCUCACAGAGAUUUUGUAUAGCAUCUCUGUUUUUUAUCUUAAAUUCGAGGCAAAAGAUAAAUGGGUUUAUUAAAUGAAAGUUCCUAGCAAAUAUCAAAUUAACAUAAAAAUUUUCAUGGACUAAGCAAUCUGUGUUUUAUACUGCUUUCAAUGAUUUGGAUGAAAAUAUAGUCAAAAAUUCUGGGUCUCCUUCCUUAAGAUUCUAUUUAUAAAAUACACCCAAAUGAAGAUUCUACUUCCUCAUUGUCAUGUUACUUAAAAAUAAUCACCUUGUCGUUGAAUUCUGUCUGAACUAUGCUAGGCACCAUAGGUAGGGCCAUUUAUACAGUCAUAACUGCUGCCCAUAAAAAACAGGGGGUUGACAGUAAGAUGGAUAAACCCACACCGAACACAUAGAUUAUGAACUAUAAGCAUCGAAUAUUAUUCCUACAAGAAAUGUAAAAGUUACACAUGCACACACUCACAUACACUUACACACACACACACACACACAAAUACACAUCAAGGAUAGCAAUAGAGGUCAGUGAUUUAAAACUGACGCAAAGGCAAAUUGAUAUUUCUGUGAGGGGACAAUGUCUUACAGAAUUUGGAAGUCUGUAAAGAAGUUGGAAAGCAGGAGUUCCCGUCAUGGUGCAGCAGAAACGAAUCUGACUAGGAACCAUGAGGUUGCAGGUUCAAUCCCUGGCCUCGCUCAGUGGGUUAAGGAUCCAACCUUGCCAUGAGCUGUGGUGUAGGUCGAAGACGUGGCUCGGAUCUGGCGUUGCUAUGGCUGUGGUGUAGGCCAGCAGCAACAGCUCUGAUUAGACCCCUAGCCUGGGAACUUCCAUAUGCCACAGGUGCAGCCCUAAAAAGACAAAAGACAAAGAAAAAAAAAGAAUUUAAAGUUGGAAAGCAAGUGAGAUGGCUGAUUUUUACUUUGUUUUAAACAAAUUCAUUUAUCUAUUCAUUUAUUGGGUUCUUACUAUGUGCCAAACAGCAUGUUUUGCUAAGUUCAAUAUAAUUCAUGAGAGAAAUAAAAUGCUCAGAAAAGAAAUCACUCUAAUUCCUAAAGCACAUUCAUGGUAAAAUUUGCAAACCAAGUGCAAUGAAUAAGCUGUUACAUUUUUAAUAAAAUAUCUUACAUCUGAUUUUUAAAAUCAAAGAGAAAUUAAGGAGGUACUACCUUAACUGUUUUCUCAUGUUACAACUUGAAAUAUUUCAAAAAAGUUUUUGUAGUAAACACAUGAUGUAUUGCAUUUAACUUUGAAGAUGCAACUAAUCUGGUAACUCUAGAUUAUCUGAUAGUAAAUGAUCCAAAUCACUGUCAGGCUUAAUAUUCAACUUGGACAUCUACUUCUGAGCAAAACUGGCCAUUUUGAGUUUAGCGGAGAGGUAACUAAGAAGGGUCAUGCUCCAAGCAAGGUACAGCAAAAUAAAAGCUGAGGACAUGACAAUUAAAGUUGCAUUUCCCAAAGCUCUCAUGUGGUGCAGAAGGUUGAGGAUCCAGUGUUGCCAUAGCUGUGGCACAGGUUGCAACUGCCUAUGGCAGGGCUUUGCUUCCUGGCCAGGGAAUUUUCAUAUGCCAAGAGUGCAGCCAGGAAAAAAAAAAAGUUGCAUUUCCACAUCAUUUCAAUUUAGUGACCUUGAGUCUGGAGACAACACAUUAGGUGACAUCAGGAACCCUUCUGUAUCCCUUCCACAGUUAUACUGAGAAAACCUCAUCCCAAGGUUAUCUCAGGAUAUGAGUGAUCACACAUCCCAUUUACUCAGAGCAUCCCAGUUUACUCGUGUGAUCCCAGCAUAAUGAUUAAUAGCUGCCACUCACACUUUCAAACAGCUUUCAAACAGGCCAUGGUUAGGGAUGAUUAAUUACGCAGGUCCCCUAACCAUAAUACAAUCUAUGAUACACACUCCAAGCCCUGCUACAGUAGAACAAACUCCAGUCCUGACCCGGCACUAGAAAUGUGGCAGUCUGUUGGAAUUUAUCAUCCUCCUCCCCCAUGAAAUGGACACAUUCUUUAAAGACAACAGCUGAACAAGCUACCCUGUCUGAUUCAUGGAUGUGACUUGUAGGCAUAUGUCCUGUCGAACCCUAAACUUUUCUCUGCUAGAGCCCACUGAAUUCACCAAAAAUUCCCAGGAUGAGCUGCGCUCUAUUGGAUUCUGCACAAAACCUGACUGUUAAGACUACUUAAGAGUAGAAAAUGUAUCUUAUGCCCCUUGAUGUCUUCCAAUGCCUUUAGCAUUCAGCCCGCUUGUAAGAACCACUCAAUAAACGUUUGUUGAAACGCCUGAAACAUUUGGUCAAAACACCUGGAUGAAUGGCCUAAUUCUUUACUUUCUUUCCAGCUAUUUAUCAUUAUGUAGAUCCAAAGAAAUCCAGAAAACAGACAAAUGCCAGGCCUGAGCAUGUCCGUGGGGAGAAGUGCCCAGGUGCACAUGAAAGGAAGUAACAUCCAUACUUAAACCUUUGCUUCCCUCCUGGUAACUUCUCAAUCUAUCUUCAUGUUCUUUUCUAAAGGCAACUAAUUGGCCACAUUCUACGACCUAGAUAUUCUAGAGGUAGGAGCCAGGUCUUUCCCAACGAACCCAUCAACAAAACAGUUGUUUCCACCUGAAUCUCCUGGACAAUAAAGUCAGGGUUCAAAACAGAGCCUUGCUAAAUAAAUAUCAGUACUUGCUGUUCCCUUGUACAGUAUUUCUGGAAGUCAUGGAGAGAACAGCCAAAGAGAUGGGAGAAUACAGAGGAAAUAACAAAAGAUGUAUAAAAGAAUUUUUUGCUCAUUCCAACUUUAGAAAAAAGUUGAAGUCUGUCAAGUUAUCAGCAGGAAUUGCAGUAUGUGAAUCAACCCUUAGAAAUUGUGCUUCACUGUUUUGCCCUCAGUUUUCACAUUCACAAAUUUUAAUUCAUGAUUUUUCAAAUCACAUCUUUAGCACAUUUGUGAUUUUUUUUCUUUUUCGGAUCACCCAAGCAGACUAAAUAAAUGCAAUGACUGUGCCUAAUAGCUUUUAUGAACCUACCACAUGGGAAAGAGUCAGAACUGUCAUAUAAUUUGGCAUCAUCUGGUAAGGAAAAGAGUUUCUACAGCAUCCAUCUAUCUUUGAAAAACAACAAAAAAGCAAAGUAGAUUCAAGCUGGAAAGAAGGGAUAGAAAGAAUGGGGCCCUGGAUACCAGACUCCACUCUCACAUGAUGUGUUCUUUGGGAAGGUUUGAGUCUGGGAGUUUUCUCCUUUCAUCGGACAACAUAAAAGUUGUUUCAGCAAGAAGCAGGGAACAAAGGAAGACUUUCAUUUACAAAAACAAGUAUUACAGCACAGUGUCUGUUAGGAACUUUUAUUUAUGCUGCACCUGGCAUUAUUUUUAACCGUCUGUGAGCCAACUCUGACAAGGAGAUAGUGCGUUUCUGCAUCCAACACAUAGACCUUUGUCAUGUAUGUGUGAACCUCAGGCUCCUGUCAGCAAUCCUGGUCUUGACUGCAGGACUCCAGAGGAGAGCAGGUGGACUUGCACUCUUGGUAGAGACCCCCCUGUCUCCCAGCUUCUACAGGUAAGGAGGAUUGUCACCAGGAACGCUGGUCUGAGCCCUCUACAGUUUGUGUCAGCUCACAGUUGCCAUUGACAAAGCUCAGUGCUUCCCUAUCACCAGGUAAAAUGGUCUUUGAAAUAGCCUUGCAAACAGCAAAUGAACAAAGCCGAAUUGAGGAAAUCUUUUCAUUCAGUGCAUAGCUCCUCCUGGUCAAGGCAAGAUUUUGGAUUUUUUAAUUGUAAAAUCUCUUAACUUCAUCUAAAGCAUUAUCCUUCUUUUUUUUUUUUCAGUCAAAGCAAAUAGAUACGUGGUUAUGUCUUGCUCUACUAAGGAUAGCAAAUCCAGUUGUUGAG